Molecule: ribosomal RNA, 465 nt
Filed under: uncultured bacterium
Lineage: Bacteria
Description: partial 16S ribosomal RNA
Rfam family: Bacterial small subunit ribosomal RNA
Source: RNAcentral
GACGAACGCUGGCGGCGUGCUUAACACAUGCCAGUCGAACGGAAAGGCCCUGCUUGCAGGGUACUCGAGUGGCGAACGGGUGAGUAACACGUGGGUGAUCUGCCCUGCACUUCGGGAUAAGCCUGGGAAGCUGGGUCUAAUACCGGAUAGGAGCCAUUUUUAGUGUGAUGGUUGGAAAGUUUUUUCGGUGUAGGAUGAGCUCGCGGCCUAUCAGCUUGUUGGUGGGGUAAUGGCCUACCAAGGCGGCGACGGGUAGCCGGCCUGGGAGGGUGGACGGCCACAUUGGGACUGGGAUACGGCCCAGACUCCUACGGGAGGCAGCAGUGGGGAAUAUUGCACAAUGGGCGCAAGCCUGAUGCAGCGACGCCGCGUGGGGGAUGACGGCCUUCGGGUUGUAAACUCCUUUCGCUAGGGACGAAGCUUUUUGUGACGGUACCUAGAUAAGAAGCACCGGCUAACUACGUG